Molecule: ribosomal RNA, 253 nt
Filed under: uncultured bacterium
Lineage: Bacteria
Description: partial 16S ribosomal RNA
Rfam family: Bacterial small subunit ribosomal RNA
Source: RNAcentral
UACGUAGGGUGCGAGCGUUAAUCGGAAUUACUGGGCGUAAAGCGUGCGCAGGCGGUUCGUUGUGUCUGAUGUGAAAGCCCCGGGCUCAGCCUGGGAAUGGCAUUGGAAACUGGCGAGCUAGAGUGUGGCAGAGGGGGGUGGAAUUCCGCGUGUAGCAGUGAAAUGCGUAGAGAUGCGGAGGAACACCGAUGGCGAAGGCAGCCCCCUGGGCUGACACUGACGCUCAGGCACGAAAGCGUGGGGAGCAAACAGG